UCCUACGGGAGGCAGCAGUGAGGAAUAUUGGUCAAUGGGCGAGAGCCUGAACCAGCCAAGUCGCGUGAGGGAAGACGGCCCUACGGGUUGUAAACCUCUUUUGUCAGGGAGCAAGAACGGAUACGUGUAUCCGAGCGAGAGUACCUGAAGAAAAAGCAUCGGCUAACUCCGUGCCAGCAGCCGCGGUAAUACGUAGGGGGCAAGCGUUAUCCGGAUUUACUGGGUGUAAAGGGAGCGUAGGCGGUUUAGCAAGUCAGAAGUGAAAGCCCGGGGCCCAACUCCGGGACUGCUUUUGAAACUGUUGA
Molecule: ribosomal RNA, 305 nt
Filed under: uncultured bacterium
Lineage: Bacteria
Description: bacterial SSU rRNA
Rfam family: Bacterial small subunit ribosomal RNA
Source: RNAcentral